CAACUUUCAACAACGGAUCUCUUGGUUCUGGCAUCGAUGAAGAACGCAGCGAAAUGCGAUAAGUAGUGUGAAUUGCAGAAUUCAGUGAAUCAUCGAAUCUUUGAACGCACAUUGCGCCCCUUGGUAUUCCAAAGGGCAUGCCUGUUCGAGCGUCAUUU
This 158-nucleotide ribosomal RNA is filed under the name Pleospora sp. ATCC MYA-3202. Its description in RNAcentral is "5.8S ribosomal RNA". It matches the Rfam family "5.8S ribosomal RNA". Rfam says of the family: 5.8S ribosomal RNA (5.8S rRNA) is a component of the large subunit of the eukaryotic ribosome. It is transcribed by RNA polymerase I as part of the 45S precursor that also contains 18S and 28S rRNA. RNAcentral also lists the same sequence under 2 other names. Lineage: Eukaryota; Fungi; Ascomycota; Dothideomycetes; Pleosporales; Pleosporaceae. The record is from RNAcentral.